Molecule: ribosomal RNA, 274 nt
Filed under: uncultured bacterium
Lineage: Bacteria
Description: partial 16S ribosomal RNA
Rfam family: Bacterial small subunit ribosomal RNA
Source: RNAcentral
AUACGGAGGGUGCGAGCGUUAAUCGGAAUUACUGGGCGUAAAGCGCGCGCAGGUGGCUAGAUAAGUCGGAUGUGAAAGCCCUGAGCUUAACUUGGGAACUGCAUUCGAUACUGUCUAGCUAGAGUAUGGUAGAGGGAAGCGGAAUUCCGGGUGUAGCGGUGAAAUGCGUAGAUAUCCGGAGGAACACCAGUGGCGAAGGCGGCUUCCUGGACCAAUACUGACGCUCAGGCGCGAAAGCGUGGGGAGCAAACAGGAUUAGAAACCCCUGUAGUCC